This 281-nucleotide ribosomal RNA is filed under the name Acinetobacter haemolyticus. RNAcentral describes it as "partial 16S ribosomal RNA". It matches the Rfam family "Bacterial small subunit ribosomal RNA", at positions 1254 to 1533 of the family's 1533-position model. The record is from RNAcentral. Lineage: Bacteria; Pseudomonadati; Pseudomonadota; Gammaproteobacteria; Moraxellales; Moraxellaceae.
CUAGCGAUAGGAUGCUAAUCUCAAAAAGCCGAUCGUAGUCCGGAUUGGAGUCUGCAACUCGACUCCAUGAAGUCGGAAUCGCUAGUAAUCGCGGAUCAGAAUGCCGCGGUGAAUACGUUCCCGGGCCUUGUACACACCGCCCGUCACACCAUGGGAGUUUGUUGCACCAGAAGUAGGUAGUCUAACCGCAAGGAGGACGCUUACCACGGUGUGGCCGAUGACUGGGGUGAAGUCGUAACAAGGUAGCCGUAGGGGAACCUGCGGCUGGAUCACCUCCUUAA